This 3083-nucleotide ribosomal RNA is filed under the name Acidimicrobiaceae bacterium. RNAcentral's name for it is "23S ribosomal RNA". It matches the Rfam family "Bacterial large subunit ribosomal RNA". The record is from RNAcentral. Lineage: Bacteria; Bacillati; Actinomycetota; Acidimicrobiia; Acidimicrobiales; Acidimicrobiaceae.
UACCAAGCUACGAAGAGCCAAUGGUGAAUGCCUUGGCGCCGAACACCGAUGAAGGACGUGAUAGGCUGCGAUAAGCCACGGGGAGCCGCCGAAUAGGCUUUGAUCCGUGGAUAUCCGAAUGGGGAAACCCGGCACCUUUUAUCGGGUGUCACUCCUGCCUGAAUCUAUAGGGCAGGUAGAGGGAACGAGGGGAAUUGAAACAUCUCAGUACCCUGAGGAAAAGAAAGCAACAGCGAUUCCCGGAGUAGCGGCGAGCGAAAUGGGAAGAGCCUAAACCGAUUCCGGUGGUAAAGCCUGGUGGCGUUGCCGGAUCGGUGUUGUGGGACAUCCCCGACCGAGCACCAGAUCGGUCAAGGAGUUACAAAGCAGGCAGAUAGCGGAACCGUACAGGAAAGGCGGGCCGCAGAGGGUGACAGCCCCGUACGCGAAAUCUGCUUGCCUCCUGGGAUUGCUCCCGAGUAGCGCCGGUUCCGUGAAGGCCGGCGUGAAUCUGCGAGGACCACCUCGUAAGGCUAAAUAUGUGUCGGCGACCGAUAGCGAACUAGUACCGUGAGGGAAAGGUGAAAAGUACCCCGGGAGGGGAGUGAAAUAGUACCUGCAACCAUUGGUUUACAAGCAGUUGAAGCGCUACUGGGCACUUGUGUCCAAGCGCGACAGCGUGCCUUUUGAAGAAUGAGCCAGCGAGUUACGGUGUGUGGCAAGGUUAACCAGUGAUGGGAAGCCGGAGCGAAAGCGAGUCCGAAUAGGGCGCACAGUCGCAUGCUGUAGACCCGAAGCCGUGUGAUCUAUCCAUGGGCAGGGUGAAGCGGAGGUAAGACUCCGUGGAGGCCCGAACCGACCUAGGUUGAAAACUGGGCGGAUGACCUGUGGAUAGGGGUGAAAGGCCAAUCAAACACGGUGAUAUCUGGUUCUCCCCGAAAUGCAUUUUGGUGCAGCGUCGCACGUUCAGCCAUGGAGGUAGAGCACUGAUUGGGCUAGGGGGCCCACAAGCUUACCGACCCCAGUCAAACUCCGAAUGCCAUGGCUCCAGAGUGCGGCAGUGAGUCCACGGGGGAUGAGCUUCGUUGGACGAGAGGGAAACAGCCCAGAGCGCCGGCUAAGGCCCCUAAGUGUGUAUUAAGUGGCAAACGAUGUGGGAUUGCCCAGACAGCCAGGAGGUUGGCUUAGAAGCAGCCACCCUUGAAAGAGUGCGUAACAGCUCACUGGUCGAGUGGUCCUGCGCGGAUAAUGUAACGGGGCUAAAUACACCGCCGAAGCCGCGCCUUUGAGUUCGCUUUCGAGCGAGCUUGAGGGGUAGGGGAGCGUCGUGCCUGCAGCGAAGCCGGAGCGUGAGCGCCGGUGGAGCGGGUCCGAGUGAGAAUGCUGGCAUGAGUAGCGAGAGAGGGGUGCGAAUCCCCUCCGCCGUAAGCCCAAGGGUUCCUGGGGAAGGCUGGUCCUCCCAGGGUUAGUCGGGAGCUAAGGCGAGGCCGAGAGGCGUAGUCGAUGCACAACCGGUUGAUAUUCCGGUACCACCGCGUGCGCGCCCAGUCCAAAAUGCGGUUGCUAAGGGGCUGUCCUCCCUUCGGGGAACGACGAACCGACCCACCGCACCGAGGACAGCAAUGAGGGGACGCAGGAGGAUAGGUGAACCCAGGCGAUGGUAGACCUGGGGUAAGCGAGUAGGACGGGGACUAGGUAAGUCCGGGCCCCAUAAAGUCCGAGACGCGAUGCCGAGCCGCUACAGGCGAAGUCAUUGAUUCCAUGCUGCCUAGAAAAGCCUCUAGCGAGUUCACGUGGUGCCCGUACCUAAACCAACACAGGUAGGCAGGUAGAGCAUACUCAGGCGAACGGGAGAACUGUGGUUAAGGAACUCGGCAAAUUGCAUCCGUAACUUCGGGAGAAGGAUGACCCUGCGAUGGUGACGGCACUAGCUGCCCGAGCCGGAGAGGGUGGCACAAAAUAGGGGAAAGCGACUGUUUACUAAAAACACAGCAGCGUGCGAAGUCGUAAGACCAUGUAUACGCUGUGACGCCUGCCCGGUGCCGGAAGGUUACGGGGAACGGUUAGCUCUUCGGAGCGAAGCUGUGAACCUAAGCCCCGGUAAACGGCGGCCGUAACUAUAACGGUCCUAAGGUAGCGAAAUUCCUUGUCGGGUAAGUUCCGACCUGCACGAAUGGCGUAACGACUUUCCCACUGUCUCAACCACAGACCCGGCGAAAUUGAAGUACGAGUAAAGAUGCUCGUUGGCUACAGAAGGACGGAAAGACCCCGUGGACCUUUACUAUAACUUGGUAUUGGGUUGUGGCACGUGUUGUGUAGGAUAGGUCGGAGACUAGGAAGCGUGUGCGCCAGCAUGCGUGGAGUCACCCUUGAAAUACGACCCUGCUCAUGUCGGAACUCUAACCUAGGACCCUGAUCGGGUUCGGGAACAGUGCCAGGCGGGUAGUUUGACUGGGGCGGUCGCCUCCCAAAGGGUAACGGAGGCGCCCAAAGGUUCCCUCAGACUGGUUGGCAAUCAGUCGUCGAGUGCAAUGGCACAAGGGGGCUUGACUGUGAGACAUACAGGUCGAGCAGGUGCGAAAGCAGGGCAUAGUGAUCCAGCGAUUGCGUGUGGAAGCGUCGUUGCUCAACGGAUAAAAGGUACCCCGGGGAUAACAGGCUCAUCUUCCCCAAGAGUCCAUAUCGACGGGAAGGUUUGGCACCUCGAUGUCGGCUCAUCGCAUCCUGGGGCUGAAGCAGGUCCCAAGGGUUGGGCUGUUCGCCCAUUAAAGCGGUACGCGAGCUGGGUUUAGAACGUCGUGAGACAGUUCGGUCCCUAUCCUCUGUAGCCGUAGGAGAUUUGAGGAAAGCUGUCCGUAGUACGAGAGGACCCGGAUGGACGCAGCUCUCGUGUGCCAGUUGUUCCGCCAGGAGCACGGCUGGUUGGCGACCUGCGGAAGGGAUAAGCGCUGAAAGCAUCUAAGCGCGAAGCCUGUUCCAAGAUGAGAUCUCCCACUGGUACAACCAGGUAAGGCCCGUGGCAGAUAACCACGUUGAUAGGCCGGAUGUGUACGCACAGCAAUGUGUUCAGCAGACCGGUACUAAUCGGCCGAGGGCUUGGUAUC